This 498-nucleotide ribosomal RNA is filed under the name uncultured marine eukaryote. RNAcentral's name for it is "bacterial SSU rRNA". It matches the Rfam family "Eukaryotic small subunit ribosomal RNA", at positions 619 to 1129 of the family's 1831-position model. The record is from RNAcentral.
UUAAAAAGACUCGUAGUUGGAUUUCUGUUGCGACUCAUAAGUUGCCCCUUCUCGGGUUGCAAUUAGUGACGUGACAUCCUCUCGAGUUACAUCCCUGGCAUUAAUUUGUCGAGGUUGCUCUCGAGUCGUUUACUUUGAGGAAAUUAGAGUGUUCACAGCAGGCAUUCGCCCGAAUACAUUAGCAUGGAAUAAUUGCAGGAUUUUGGUUCUAUUUUGUUGGUUUCUAGAACCGAAAUAAUGAUUAAUAGGGACAAUUGGGGGCAUUCGUAUUAACACGUCAGAGGUGGAAUUCUUGGAUUGUGUUACGACGAACUACUGCGAAAGCAUUUGCCAAGGAUGUUUUCAUUGAUCAAGAACGAAAGUAAGGGGAUCGAAGACGAUUAGAUACCGUCGUAGUCUUUACCAUAAACAAUGCCAACUAGGGAUAGGGCAUGUUUACUUUGCUUGUUCUGCACCUUAUGAGAAAUCAAAGUCUAUGGGUUCCGGGGGGAGUAUGGU